GGCUCAGAGUGAACGCUAGCGGCGUGGUUAAGACAUGCAAGUCGAACGAUGAAGCCCAGCUUGCUGGGCGGAUUAGUGGCAUACGGGUGCGUAACACGUGAGCAACCUGCCUUGAAGUGGGGAAUAGCCCGGGGAAACCCGGAUUAAUACCGCAUGUGGUCUCUUUUCGCAUGAAAAGACGACUAAAGUUUGUAAUGACUCUUCAAGAGGGGCUCGCGGCCUAUCAGCUUGUUGGUGAGGUAAAAGCUCACCAAGGCAAAGACGGGUAGCUGGUCUGAGAGGAUGAUCAGCCACACUGGAACUGAGAUACGGUCCAGACACCUACGGGUGGCAGCAGUUUCGAAUCAUUCACAAUGGGGGAAACCCUGAUGGUGCAACGCCGCGUGGAGGAUGACGGCCUUCGGGUUGUAAACUCCUGUCACCAAGGAACAAACGGCAGGUUCAUAGCCUGUCCUGAGUUAACUUGGAGAGGAAGAGGUGGCUAACUCCGUGCCAGCAGCCGCGGUAAUACGGAGACCUCGAGCGUUACUCGGAUUCACUGGGCGUAAAGAGUAUGUAGGCGGUUUGGUAUGUCAGGUGUGAAAGCCCGAAGCUCAACUUCGGAAUUGCGCCUGAAACUACCGGACUUGAGGCCUGGAGAGGGGAGUGGAAUUCCUGGUGUAGCGGUGAAAUGCGUAGAUAUCAGGAGGAACACCAAUGGCGAAGGCAGCUCCCUGGACAGGUUCUGACGCUGAGAUACGAAAGCGUGGGUAGCGAAAGGGAUUAGAUACCCCUGUAGUCCACGCCGUAAACGUUGUACACUAGGUUUCGGAGGGCCUACCCCUUCGGAGCUCAAGCUAACGCGAUAAGUGUACCGCCUGAGGACUACGGCCGCAAGGCUAAAACUCAAAGGAAUGACGGGGCCCGCACAACGUGGAGCAUGUGGCUUAAUUCGAUGCAACGCGAAGAACCUUACCUAGGCUUGACAUGAACCGGACGAUUUUCGGAAACGGAUUUCUCCCUUCGGGGCCGGUUCACAGGUGCUGCAUGGCUGUCGUCAGCUCGUGU
RNAcentral lists this ribosomal RNA (1047 nucleotides) under uncultured organism. RNAcentral's name for it is "bacterial SSU rRNA". It matches the Rfam family "Bacterial small subunit ribosomal RNA", at positions 21 to 1065 of the family's 1533-position model. The record is from RNAcentral.